GCGUGGAGAUCAGAGCUUUGCUCAGAAUGACCUUCUAAUGAUUCUCAAUAACGGCAAAAGGAUUCAGUUUCAUAAAAUCAGUCAAGCCAGUUUUAUAUUUUUUUUCUUCUAGCUCAUUCACCAGACAUUUAUUGAGUGCUGAUGAGCAGGCAGGUCCUACGGAAGGCAUUGCAAAUUUUGUGUGGAGUGAAAUGCCUCUGCUUAGAUUGUCAUUGCUGUUUACCUUAUAACCUUGUGGCCCAGACUACCUACCACGGGCUGACUGAUUGCAAGCUGACCUUUUCCACCAAUGCUGGGAAGCUGUGGCUGUAGACGAUAGGAUCUGCUCCUGUCUUUUCAGGUCUGUGAACUCAGCCUGAGAAUUACACCACCAGCCUCCACAGUUCUGAGGAUUUUGAACAUGGACUGACCAUGCUACCAGCAUCCCAGAGUCUCCAGCUUGCAGAUGGCUUGCCGUGGGACUUCUCAGCCUCCAUAAUUAUAUGAAGACACAGAGGCUCCAGGAGAACAUGAGUGCUGGCCAAGACCACACACCCCAUAAACCACGAAGCUAGAAUCCACAUCCUGGGCCUCACUCUCCAGAGCCCGGCUGCCUCCCUCCUCUCUUCAGGCUUCCUGAGUUUGUAGCUUGGUUUUGUUAUUUAUUUGCUGAGCUCAAAUCCUGGCUUACUUAACCUCUCUAACUGCCCAUUUCCUCAACUGGAAAAUGGGGCUAAUGAUAACACAGACCUUUUAAGUUGUUGUGAGGAUCAUUAGAUAAUGUUUAUAAACUACUCAGCAGAAUGGCUAGUGCAGAGUAAGCCUCAAUCAAUGUUAUUACUACUUUUUAUUAUGUUCGGUACCGUUGUCUUUUCUCUACACACUCGCUCUUUGGUCAGGCUCACCUACACACACAGCUCCCAGCAGCACCUACAUGUGAGAAAUCCCCACCCUUUAUGGCCAGCCCAGACUUCUCUACUGAGUGCUAGGUCCAUAUGCCCUGUCACUGGCUAGAUUUCCUCCCCUUUGAUAUCCCAUGCACACCUCAAAUGUGACAAACUCACGGCAGAUCUCACCCGCAUCCUCCUGUAAAUCUACCUCUUCUCUGACUGCCCUACGCUGGUGACUGGCAGGUCCCCCUGAGUCAUAAACUUGGGCUUUGUCCUUGACUCCCAUGUCUCCCCGGUUUCACUGUUCCAGCAACAUUUGAUCAGUUACUUAAUCCUUCCUCUUAAACAUCUCUCUGAGUCAUCCAGCCUCUCCUGGAUAUUGCCUUUGUCACUGCUGAGUCUGUCUUGAUUUAAAUUUUUGAUAUUUUAAUAAUAAAAUUUUUUUGAUAUUUUG
RNAcentral lists this long non-coding RNA (1323 nucleotides) under Homo sapiens (human). RNAcentral's name for it is "HSALNT0200659". The record is from RNAcentral. Lineage: Eukaryota; Metazoa; Chordata; Mammalia; Primates; Hominidae.